GAUGAACGCUGGCGGCGUGCCUAAUACAUGCAAGUCGAGCGAACGGACGAGAAGCUUGCUUCUCUGAUGUUAGCGGCGGACGGGUGAGUAACACGUGGAUAACCUACCUAUAAGACUGGGAUAACUUCGGGAAACCGGAGCUAAUACCGGAUAAUAUUUUGAACCGCAUGGUUCAAAAGUGAAAGACGGUCUUGCUGUCACUUAUAGAUGGAUCCGCGCUGCAUUAGCUAGUUGGUAAGGUAACGGCUUACCAAGGCAACGAUGCAUAGCCGACCUGAGAGGGUGAUCGGCCACACUGGAGCGGAGACACGGUCCAGACUCCUACGGGAGGCAGCAGUAGGGAAUCUUCCGCAAUGGGCGGAAGCCUGGCGGAGCAACGCCGCGUGAGUGAUGAAGGUCUUCGGAUCGUAAAGCUCUGUUAUUAGGGAAGAACAUAUGUGGAAGUAACUGUGCACAUCUUGACGGUACCUAAUCAGAAAGCCACGGCUAACUACGUG
This 497-nucleotide ribosomal RNA is filed under the name uncultured bacterium. RNAcentral's name for it is "partial 16S ribosomal RNA". It matches the Rfam family "Bacterial small subunit ribosomal RNA", at positions 28 to 507 of the family's 1533-position model. The record is from RNAcentral.